RNAcentral lists this long non-coding RNA (2586 nucleotides) under Canis lupus familiaris (dog). RNAcentral describes it as "lncRNA (ENSCAFG00845030781.1)". Lineage: Eukaryota; Metazoa; Chordata; Mammalia; Carnivora; Canidae. The record is from RNAcentral.
UUAUAUAAGAAAGUUAAUGUGUUUCUGGAAAAAAUCUUAUUGAACAUGACAGAGUAGAAAUUCUAUGAAGACCUACGGGAGAAAUUUGUCUCAGAUCUUAGACCCCAGAAGAGCUGAUCCCCCCACAACUGGUUUCUCCAGCAUAUGUCUAUACCGUUAGUCUUGUAACCAACUCUAUUUCCUUCCUCCAAUUGGCUGCUAGGAAGCUCAGAGGCAAAUUUCAGUCCACUCCUAACAAAGCAUGCCCGGUUUUUCUCUCCUUUCCAGUUUCCUCACUUAAGUUUUUUAAAAUCUUGUGCCAAAUUUAUGUUUUGUUGGCCUCCGAGAAUCAUAUGAAACAUGGAACACACCAAAAAAAUGAAAAUUGAUUAAUAAUAGUCCAUUCUGUUGAACUGGAAAAUUUUGAGAGAAGAUCUGGUCCUGUUCCCUAAAUUAUAGAGAAUGCAUUUAAAGCUUCAAGAGGAGUGAAGGGUCAGGGUGCCUGAGUAAAGUGGGCGCGGGGCCUCUACCCAGGUGCUCUAUCCCAACUAUUUCUCUUUCUGCUCUGUCACCAUGAACCACCAAAAUCCAGACGAGGAUUUUUCCAACCAUUUCUAUGCAGUCUCAUGAAACCAUCUUUAGAAGAAUCAACUCAUCCUGCUACCCUUGGCUUCUCCUCAGGGAUCCUCUUGGCAUCAUGGGUCGGGUGAGCAGCACCCUCCAUCCAGAAGCAGGGCGAGGUGUGAUCUUCUACAUCACAGUGGAGCAGAAUGUGGGCAUUUCGGAAACAACUUGUUUUAAACAAGAUCAUUCAGAUGUGAACUCUAGACCCUGAAGUGGGGUAGCCUUGUGUGCCCGCUGCGAAUCCGAGCCGUGGAUGCUCCGUGUCACUGUGCAGGAGAAUGGGGGGCGGGGGGAGGGGGCGGGGCACGGGGUUUUAGGGCAAUCCUCGAGAGAUUGAGAGAGAGACCGCAUGAGUGCUGGUCCUCUGCCACCCGAGCAGCAGGGAAUCAGCCCCUCCACCUCGCCUCGUUUGCAAAUUGUAAAUUCCCCAGGGAAGAAAGAGCUCUCUAGCGCGAGAAGUGGUCAGGGCUUGGGAAAGAAAUGAUGCUUUUAAAACAAAUUAGACUGCGUCUGAUUGGACAGGCAGCUGCCACCUCAUCUUCCCCUCGAGCUCUCUGGGGCUCUCUGCCUCUGAGGCCUUCCAUCCCUGAGCUCGACAGUCUUUCACGAGUUGUGACGGUGGCUGGCAAAAUGCAGUCUUUGUCCUCUCGAGGCCUGUGGGCUCCCUCGGGCUAGGAGGCCAGGUGGUGGGGGUCCCUCCAAGAGGCUGGGAAAGGCCUGAGCUCGUGUCUGGGCUCCCAGCUCGGCAGCCCUGUUGUCCUGCUCUCACGGUGCACCCAGAGCCGGGCAGGCAAAGCCAGGAUGGGCUGCGGGCUGUGGGGACUCUGGGCCCCUGGAAAGCGCUGCUCUGCUGUCUCCAGCUCUUGGCCGAGGGAUCACCGCUGCGGGAAGCCUUCCCUGACCUCCUGCCAGUCUCAUCAUAACAUCGACCUCUCCUUCCUGGCUCUUGUCAUAGUUGUAGGUGAUUCUGUGUGAUUGUUCAUUUAAUGUCUCUCGUCUAAGGAACCGUGUGCUCUGUGAAGGCAGGUAACAUGGUGGCUCUUGCUCAUCACUGUGCCCAUCCCAGUUUGGCUGAAUGAAUAAAUGAUUGAACGAGUGGAUCUCUGAACUGUUAAGCAUCUCUUGUCCCUGAUCUCUUGAGUUAGGCCCGGUGCCCCAUGGGGCCGGGCUGGGAGAGGAGGUCUCUCUCUCUCCUGUUAACUGGGGCAGGUGCUGUUCCAGGCAGACGGGCCCAGGAUGGGAUGGCCGUGGUUAUGGCAGGAGACGUGAGCCUCCGCCCAGAAGGCGGUCCUGGAGACGCCUGGCACUGAGCAGGAGGUGAGUGAGCAGUCAGUUGCACUGGAGUCUGGCCCAGGUGUCCAUUUCAUAAACAUGAUGAUGAGGCAAGUAGGUAGAGCUCGGAGUUUGUAUACGUGUUUUUAAAUCUGUGGUUUUUAAAGUACAAAACUAAUGAAGGAGGAGAAGAAACCUGAGUGGCCACAUGAAAACCUCUUUAAUAAUUGUGGAAAUGCAACUUUAAACAGCAAUGCGAUACUAUUUCUGUCCAUCAGCUGGGCUAAAAGCAAAUGGCCUGAUGGUGCCAGUGUUGGUGAAGAGGUGGGGGAGGCCCUCGUGGGCCAGGAGGGAGGAGGCAAAUUGGUAAACUGCACUGAGAGCUCUUUGGGGGUAUAGGGUUGACCUUAAAAUGUGCACACCCAAGGACCGUGAUCCCUUUCUAGAUACAUAUUUUAGUCUAGAGCCGUGGUCUUCAAACUAUAGUUCACAUCUAAACCACCGGGAGGGUUCGCUACAACAGAGUGCCCGGGGCCCACCUCCAGGGUUUCUGAUUCAGUCUGAUGUGGGGCCUGAGAAUUCUCAUUUUGCUUCGUUCCCAGGCAAUGCUGACGCUGCUGGUCUUGGGGCCACACUUGGAGAACCACUAUUCCGGUUAAAUUCUUGCUUAUGUGCACAGGGAAACCUGCCUAGUGAUGUCCAUUAUGCUAU